This is a small nucleolar RNA of 83 nucleotides. Its record names the gene SNORD115. It matches the Rfam family "Small nucleolar RNA SNORD115". Rfam says of the family: HBII-52 is a member of the C/D class of snoRNAs, which contain the C (UGAUGA) and D (CUGA) box motifs. The record is from Ensembl.
AGAUAAAAAAAAAAAAAAAGUAUAUUAUUUUAAAGAGAGAUGGUGACCUGAAAAUCAUGCCAAAUAGGACUAUGCUGAAGCCC